AGUUUGAUCCUCGGCUCAGACGAACGCUGGCGGCGUGCCUAACACAUGCAAGUCGUGCGAGAACGUUCCCUUCGGGGAGCUGUACAGCGCGCACGGGUGAGUAACACGUAGGUAACCUACCUCAUAGUCGGGAAUAACCCGGGGAAACUCGGGCUAAUGCCGGAUAAGACCACGGCUGCUUCGGCAGCUGAGGCUAAAGACGGCCUCUACACGUAAGCUGUCGCUAUGGGAUGGGCCUGCGGCCCAUUAGCUAGUUGGUAGGGUAACGGCCUACCAAGGCUUUGAUGGGUAGCUGGUCUGAGAGGAUGAUCAGCCACACUGGGACUGAGACACGGCCCAGACUCCUACGGGAGGCAGCAGUGGGGAAUAUUGCGCAAUGGGGGAAACCCUGACGCAGCGACGCCGCGUGGGUGAUGAAGGCCUUCGGGUCGUAAAGCCCUGUCGUAGGGGAAGAAUCGGUGGACGGAUAAUACCCGGCCGCCUUGACGGUACCCUACAAGAAAGCACCGGCUAACUCCGUG
This 521-nucleotide ribosomal RNA is filed under the name uncultured Pseudomonadota bacterium. Its description in RNAcentral is "bacterial SSU rRNA". It matches the Rfam family "Bacterial small subunit ribosomal RNA", at positions 10 to 507 of the family's 1533-position model. Lineage: Bacteria; Pseudomonadati; Pseudomonadota. The record is from RNAcentral.